UCUUCAGAAGUGCUUUCUGCUACAUGGCGUGAAGGCCGUUCUGGAAUUGCCAACCUUUCCUGUAGUGAAGUGGUGACACACUGUGAAUCAAAGCUGUCGUCAAUCGUUGAUCCUGAAAAUUUUAAAAGUAAAACUGUUCCGGCAAUCUUACCUAAUCCAACGCAAAUUUCGUCAUCAGAACUUAAAACAACCGUGUUAUCUCCAGGGUUUCUUAAAGCUGUCUGACGGUUCAGCUUACAAACUCGAUCAUAGAUUUGGUAAUUUUUUCUAGAAUUCUCUUCAAAACUAUUAGAUUUCACAUCACUAUCUUCAGUUGGAGUAGAUGAUUCCUCUGCAUUUUGAAGCCACUUACGAAUCAAAGAAUACUCAAUCAGAGAUUCAUCGACAGUGUCAGCAUUUUGAUUAGCGUUAGCUACAUCUUUUGAAGAGUCACACCGAAUGAGCUCUUCAUCAGAACUGUCAUCAACCAAAAUUGUAUGACCAGGAAGGCAAUUGCUUGUUGUCAAUGGUUUCUUUUUACAGGAACUAAAAAUGAAAGAUGCAGAGAUUUUUUGUUUUGAAGUUGUAUCUGGAGUCAUGAAUGGAUCUUUAUUUUCUAUUGCUUUUUUAUGCCUAGUCAAUGACAGCUUGCAGGCAUGGUCUGUGAAAUAAAGAAAUUUUUAACCAAGGGAAACACUGGCUUUAGAAAUAAACUUUUACUAACCUCUUGUAGGUUGCACAGGCGUUGUGUUUGAAGCAGUAGAAGAAACCUUCUUCUUACGCCUCAUCGUCAUUAAAGGAGACAGGCUGUCGUCAUCAGAUGACAUUACUUGCUGAAAUAAAACAAGAUCUCCUUUGAAAAGACUGAUACAACAGAAAGAUUUUUCGCUCACCGUGUGGGAGCAGGAAAUUAAAAUGUCCUCGUUUGAAGAAGAGGAGGUACUUUUUUACUGCACUAGGUUGGCACGCUAAUCUUUCGAUUGUCUUCGUUGCAUGCACAUAUAUAGCUUGGAAAAUGUCUUUUGUAUAUCGCAGAAACCAGUGAAAAUUGCUGUCGGUUGAACUCCGGCAGGUAUUACAAACAGGAAAGAACGAUACGAUUUAGCGAUUCAUAAUUUGAUUUCUGCAUUGCUGCAACGGAUUCAUGACGAGGUUGCUGAAAUGACCGCCAGAUGGACGACAGCUAUAGCUAGCAGCCUUAAUAGCAACUCACAAGCAUACUUCGUAGUUCAGACUUCAAUACUUCAAUAUAUUUAUACUUCAAAAUACUUAAAUAAUACUUGGUGUCGCAAGAAACAAACGAAAACCAGCGUCGUGAGUCCGGGCUGUCUACACGUAGUUAGUGGUUCCUCAUUCGGACAUCUCGGAUUUCAUCAGCCCCCUCUCGUUUUGCAUAGGAUUUUCUCAACAAUGAACCCCGCCAUUUGUUUACAACAACCGACAGCAGUUUUCUUUCGUUUUUCUUUUAUUUUGUCAUUGAAUUUUCUGUACCAUUUCUGGUCGCCAUUAUUUGUGCAUAUGUUCAUUGUCCAUCUUUUUCCGCUUAGA
Long non-coding RNA from Daphnia magna, 1527 nucleotides. RefSeq lists it as uncharacterized. The record is from RefSeq and is a predicted model, not a curated record. Lineage: Eukaryota; Metazoa; Arthropoda; Branchiopoda; Diplostraca; Daphniidae. The transcript is spliced from 3 exons.